CGUCGCCGUGGUGCGGGUGACGCAGGCGGCGCUCCCGCUGCUGCGGGCGUCCGACGCCCCGGUGAUCGUCAACGUGGCGUCGG
Molecule: transfer RNA, 83 nt
Filed under: Clavibacter michiganensis
Lineage: Bacteria; Bacillati; Actinomycetota; Actinomycetes; Micrococcales; Microbacteriaceae
Also listed under: 1 other name
Description: tRNA-Gly
Source: RNAcentral